GAUGAACGCUGGCGGCGUGCUUAACACAUGCAAGUCGAGCGAUAAGAUAUGGAAGUUUCUUCGGAAGCGGAAGUAUCUGAAAGCGGCGGACGGGUGAGUAACGCGUGGGCAACCUGGCCUAUACAAAGGGAUAGCCACUGGAAACGGUGAUUAAUACCAUAUGAUAUCUGAACUUCGCAUGAAGAUUAGAUCAAAGAUUUAUCGGUAUAGGAUGGGCCCGCGUCUGAUUAGCUAGUUGGUAGGGUAAAGGCCUACCAAGGCGACGAUCAGUAGCCGACCUGAGAGGGUGAACGGCCACACUGGAACUGAGACACGGUCCAGACUCCUACGGGAGGCAGCAGUGGGGAAUAUUGCACAAUGGGCGCAAGCCUGAUGCAGCAACGCCGCGUGAGUGAAGAA
RNAcentral lists this ribosomal RNA (399 nucleotides) under uncultured bacterium. RNAcentral's name for it is "bacterial SSU rRNA". It matches the Rfam family "Bacterial small subunit ribosomal RNA", at positions 28 to 412 of the family's 1533-position model. The record is from RNAcentral.